Molecule: ribosomal RNA, 843 nt
Filed under: uncultured bacterium
Lineage: Bacteria
Description: bacterial SSU rRNA
Rfam family: Bacterial small subunit ribosomal RNA
Source: RNAcentral
AGAGUUUGAUCCUGGCUCAGGACGAACGCUGGCGGCGUGCCUAACACAUGCAAGUCGAACGGAGUUGAAAGGAGCUUGCUUUUUUCAACUCAGUGGCGGACGGGUGAGUAACGCGUGAGUAACCUGCCUUUCAGAGGGGGAUAACGUUCUGAAAAGAACGCUAAUACCGCAUAAGAUUGUAGCUUCGCAUGGAGCAGCAAUCAAAGGAGCAAUCCGCUGAAAGAUGGACUCGCGUCCGAUUAGAUAGUUGGCGGGGUAACGGCCCACCAAGUCGACGAUCGGUAGCCGGACUGAGAGGUUGAUCGGCCACAUUGGGACUGAGACACGGCCCAGACUCCUACGGGAGGCAGCAGUGAGGGAUAUUGGGCAAUGGGGGAAACCCUGACCCAGCAACGCCGCGUGAGGGAUGACGGUUUUCGGAUUGUAAACCUCUGUCCUCUGUGAAGAUAGUGACGGUAGCAGAGGAGGAAGCUCCGGCUAACUACGUGCCAGCAGCCGCGGUAAUACGUAGGGAGCAAGCGUUGUCCGGAUUUACUGGGUGUAAAGGGUGCGUAGGCGGAUUGGCAAGUCAGAAGUGAAAUCCAUGGGCUUAACCCAUGAACUGCUUUUGAAACUGUUAGUCUUGAGUGAAGUAGAGGUAGGCGGAAUUCCCGGUGUAGCGGUGAAAUGCGUAGAGAUCGGGAGGAACACCAGUGGCGAAGGCGGCCUACUGGGCUUUAACUGACGCUGAGGCACGAAAGUGUGGGUAGCAAACAGGAUUAGAUACCCUGGUAGUCCACACUGUAAACGAUGAUUACUAGGUGGGGGGGGGUCUAACCCCCUCCGUGCCGGAAUUAACACAAU